This 253-nucleotide ribosomal RNA is filed under the name uncultured bacterium. RNAcentral describes it as "partial 16S ribosomal RNA". It matches the Rfam family "Bacterial small subunit ribosomal RNA", at positions 524 to 776 of the family's 1533-position model. The record is from RNAcentral.
UACGGACGGGGCAAGCGUUGUUCGGAAUCAUUGGGCGUAAAGGGCGCGUAGGUGGUUCUGUAUGUCUACCGUGAAAGCGUACGGCUCAACCGUAUUUUGUCGGUGGAAACUGCAGGACUUGAGGCUGGGAGGGGCUGGUGGAAUUCCCUGUGUAGCGGUGAAAUGCGUAGAGAUGGGGGAGAACACUCGUGGCGAAGGCGGCCAGCUAGACCAGUUCUGACACUGAGGCGCGAAAGCGUGGGGAGCAAACAGG